Molecule: non-coding RNA, 644 nt
Organism: Paramisgurnus dabryanus
Lineage: Eukaryota; Metazoa; Chordata; Actinopteri; Cypriniformes; Cobitidae
Source: RefSeq, a predicted model, not a curated record
GGACACAUCCUUCUACACUGUAUGCAAACAUGCAACAUCAUUACACACAGUACAAGGAGUCAGACUGGCAUAUGAGGAGCAAAGGAACCCAGGCAGUAGCAUCGUUUCACAAUGUUUCCAUCAUCAUCAUCAGUGGAUGCCUUUGCCGUCCGUAGCCUGAGAUUUCAGAUUUGCAGCAAAAAAAAAAUGAUUUUCUCAUUUAUUGGAAUGCUGUGCAGGUAUUUGUACCUUGCAGCCAUCCAUUACAAUGUCACCAAGCCGUAACAAAAGCAGGAGAGGGAAAGUACAAGGCUAUGUUCCCAAAACACAAAUGACAUACCUUAUGUGGAGGAUGUGAUCAGGCUUGUGUUUGAUGAGGUAUUUGAAGAUAAGCUGAAGGAAACCCCGAUUCCAAUGGACCUGGCAUCACAGUUUGAGAGACCUUCAAAGGAGGACGUGAUUGCAUGCCAUCUUCAGUGCAGGGGUCGUCGAAAGCCAAAAUUGUGACCGAUCUGAUCAGGAAGCUCCAAGCGUAUCUGGAGAACAACACACGACAGGAUGAUAACCCUAAAGUGUCAUCUUAGAUAGCACCAGCUGACAAAGCUUUGAUAUGCCAUUUAUCUGAAUAGAUAUCUGUAAGAAAUGAAUUGAACAAUUUUUGAAAC